Pogoniulus pusillus (Red-fronted tinkerbird) is the source of this 739-nucleotide long non-coding RNA. RefSeq lists it as uncharacterized. The transcript is spliced from 3 exons. The record is from RefSeq and is a predicted model, not a curated record. Lineage: Eukaryota; Metazoa; Chordata; Aves; Piciformes; Lybiidae.
GCGCCGGGGAUGCGCGUGUCACGUGACGGCGGGGCGGAAGCGGCCGCGGCCGCGGCGGGGCCGGGCGGGACCGGGCCGGGCUGGGGCUCCUUGUGCCGGGGUGCUUUAGGCCCUCGGAUCCCUCCGCUCCGCGCUCUGCCCCGCGCCUGUCCCGGCAUUCGGGCGGCCCCGGGUCCGUGGGUCCCUUCUCGUAGCCCGCGGUGGGCACAGAGUUUGACUGUGACUCCCGGAGCGAGCUGCGGCGCCGGCGGCCUGACCGUGCUGAGCCCCGGGGGCUGUGCCGCCUGCUGGGCGCUCUCCGCACCGCUCCGGGCUGGGAACGCCGCCUGCUGUAGCUAGUUGCUGCCUGGGAUAAGUGAAGGAUUUUCCCAGCGGAUGCUGGUUUCAGGGCAGAGCAGCCUGACCUGGGAGCCUCGGGGGCUCAUGUGGAGCCACCUGAUGCUGGCUGGACUGAUGGAAAGUGCUUGGAGCUUCCCCAGUUACCCUGCGGCGCUGCACUGUGCUCUCUGUCUCCAAGGACCAUAGCGCAGGGAUGUUGCUGGGAGGGAUCCUGUGGCUUCCUUCCCAGAACCUGAGACCUCAGAGCCACGGUCCAAGGCCACCGACUUCAGCCCCUCCUGUGCUGCUGAUUCAUCAUUGCUGGUUACUUAAAAAAGGGUAAUCAGCAAAUUACUGAAAUAUAAGUAAAAUAAACAAGGUGGGCAGGAGAACUCUGUGUGGCAGGGCCCCAGAGACCUGA